This 4228-nucleotide long non-coding RNA is filed under the name Mytilus galloprovincialis (Mediterranean mussel). Lineage: Eukaryota; Metazoa; Mollusca; Bivalvia; Mytilida; Mytilidae. The record is from RNAcentral.
AGGUCUUGCAGCAGAAAGGAUCAAGAAUGUGAAGAAUGCCAUUGUUUAUAAUAUAAUGACCACACCUUUUUGUGACUAGAAUUUUUUAGGCUAAAGACUGAUAUUUUGAUAUUGAUUUUAUUGUUAACUAUUAAUUGUCAUUUUAGUGUAUGUACUGUAAAAAAAAAAGCUUUUCUUUUAAUUAAAUAAGUCAUUCUUGUAAAUGUUAGACAUUUUAGAAAUGAUUUAAUUUAUUAAUGUCUGUCAAUGUUUUGUAAGCAAGCCCUUUUUUAAUAAAUGUUGGUGCUUUAAUCAUGUUCAUUAUUAAACUAAGAGGAUUUCAUUAUUUCGAUUUAACUAAUUUUCUAUAGGUUAACAAAUUAAUUCUUAAUCCUUUUUGAACUUUUCCAUUCACUGACUUUUAGAAAUUAAAACCUCGGAAUAUAUGUUUUUCUCCAAAUAACCAAAUAACAUUAAAAAAAACCAUUUGCUGAAAAGUUUGAAACUGGACAGGUGUGUUGAUUAAUAAUGGUACCCAGCUCCAUGGGGUAUCCUGGUUGACUUAUGUCUGUCUGUAUGUCUGUCAAUCCAUGCAAUUAGAGUUUAAUCACUUUUCUAUCAGGAACUACAAAUCAGCUUCCUGAAAUUUGGUUAUCAAGCUUCACUCAAGCAUGCGUUACAGUGUGAUGCAUAUUCAGAUUCCUUUAUCAUCCAUUUCAUGUUUAUUUAAAAACUUAUAUUUUCAUACAAACAAUAGCCAUGUUUGAAAUUCAAGUUGUGUUUUUAUAUAUAUAUCAUAGCUUCUGAAAUUUAAUGGUAUCAAACUUCAUGGAAGCAUGCUAUACUGUGAUGCAUUUUUAUGACCAUCUCUUAUCAAUUUCCUUUACAGAAUAAUUAUGUAGGGAGUGAGCAAUAGCUCACAGAUUAAUCAUUUUCUUAAUGCAAAUGAUAACAUUUAUUAUAAAUCUAUAAAAUAAUCAGAUGUUCAUCAGACAUUAUUCUGUCAGAUAUAAGAUGUCAUAUUUUUAGAUUUCAUCUAAAUCAUUCCUUUAGUGUACUUGAGUUGUUUGCUAAACUGCAAAAACUAAAAUCGCUUCAUUUUCAGAGUUAGUCUUUAAUAUUUAGAAAUGAGCCAAGGUUUUACCCAAAAAUUAUAUAUAUUUUGCUACAAUAUAUAUUAAAAGAUGUCAACAUGUAUGAAUUAUCUUUUUGAUUAAGACCUUUAUUCAUAUCUUUUUGUUCCAAAACUAUGUACAAAGUGGCCAUUUUAGGUCAAAUAUAUCCAUUUCAAAACAGUCAUAGUGACUUCACAAGUUACCUCUCUGCACUUAAGAUUCCAAAUUUACCAAAAUAUUAUAAAAAGUGUGGGUCACAGAAUUAUUUUUUGUUUGUUUGUAUAUUGCUAUCACAUCGUCAGCGUGGUCCGAAGACAGAUGGUUUCCAGAUAAUAACGUAAGAAUAAGUUAUAGAAAUCAAAAAAAUUGUAACACAAGGUUUAUAACCACUAAAGGAAGGGGGUUAUGGUCCUAACUGUUUAGGAAUUAGGAGCUGAAAAAGGGGCCCAAAUAAGCAUUUUUGUAGUUUCCAGACAAUAACUUGUGUAUGUCUCUAAAAUUAUACCACAAGUUUCCAUACUACAAAGGGAUGAUAAGGAUUGACUUUGGGGGGUUGUGGCUCAAACCAUUUAGGAAUUAAGGCAAAAAAUGUGGAGAAACAAGGGUUUUUCUGGUUAAAGGACAAUUGAGACAAUUUAAAAGCAUUGUAAGGGAGGGGAUCAAAAUCAAUUCGCAACAGCAUAUAGUGGAUUGCACAAAAGCAAAAAAUUAAAUAUAAAUUCAAAUCAUAUAACUAAUUUGAAGUUCUUUAACUAAGGUUAUUUUGCGUCAGAAACCUAUUAUGUGUCAAAAUUUUAUUAACAAUCCAAAUUCAGACCUGUAUCAAGUGUGAAUAUUUUGUCCAUUUUGGCCCCAACUUUCAGGGUUGGACAUCUGUGGUCGUAUCCAGCUGUGCUCAGCCAAGCAAUUUCUCUUCAUACUCAAAUAGGUAUACAUGUAUACACAACUCAUUCUAGUAUAAAAAUUUCUUGAGUUAUCUCCCCUAAUAUAUUAUAAUGAGUUAUCCCCCCUUAAAAAAAAAGAAAUGAAUCAAACAAUUUUUAUUUUUUUUAAAUACAGUGGUAAAUAUGAUAAAACACAUAAUUUUCUAUAUAUUUAACAUGAAAAGUCUUCAGUUUCAAUAUCUAUGUAAUUGAUUCAGUGAAAUUGAAAAGGUAAUAUUGUUUUUCCUUUCAAAAUUAUGCUGUAGCUAUGGGGUUCAAGGUUUUCAUAUGACCCUUAUCCCCUUAAAAACCAGUACAUGCUAUUAAAUGCAAUAUGUUGUUGGAACUUUACUGUUGACCAAUUGACAUAAUGAAGAAUUUAUCACGGAUUGCAUUGAGCGGUACAGAUUUUUAAUGACAGGUUGCAUGCCCCACUCAUAUCUCUGAAAUUCCAUGCUGCAGGCCACAUGAUGGAGGUAUCUUGUUAUCAAUUAAAAAUUAAAGAUAUCUUGGUAAUAUGAACUAAAUCCCAGUAGCUAAAAUAUAUUGUGUUUUUUUUUCGAGCACAUAUAUAUGAGGAACUUUUUAUUGCAAUUUCUGUCUCGCCUAGACUGAAUCAUAAUGCAAGAUGUAGGUAUGCAGUUUCAAUGGGACAGUGUCAACAAUUUGAUAAAUUUUCAUACACCCAUUUACAGGACGUAUUAUGGUAUUCGUCUGUCCAUCUGUCGUCAACAUGUCGGAACAAAUAACUCAUUGACAAACACUUCAACCAAUUGGCAUAAAACUUCUGAUAAUUGUUUAUAUCUAUUGACGUGAGCUCCCUUUCAUAUUUUAUAAAUUUUAGAUUUUAUGUUUCCAGUUAUGGGGUUUUAUUCAUUAAAAAAGGGGGGUGUUCCAGUUUUCAGACACUGAAUAACUUGAGUGAUUUCAGCAGUUUUCAUAAAACUUUGGUGAAUUGUUUAUAUCUAUUGGCGUAAGCUCCCUUUCCAUUUUAUCAAUUUUAGAUUUUACGUUUCAGAGUUAUGUGAUUGUAUUCACAAAAAGGGGUAUUUUUCAGUUAUCUGUCAAUGCUUAGAGUAGUUAUCAUGAAACUUUUGUGACUGGUUUAUAACUAUUAAGAUAACCUCCCUUUAGUUUUUCAUGAAUUUCUGAUAUGACAUUGAGAAGUUAUUGAACUUUAUUCCUCAUGGCCCAGCAGUUUAUUUGCUUAUGUCAGUUCAUGGGGAACCACUUUAGGUAAAUCAAUGAUAUAUGGCACAUCUCAGUUCCAUGGCUUUAAAACUUUUGCAAAGUUUACAUGGUAAAGUUUGUGAUAAGAUCGGUUACCGUAGGAGGAGCCACUGAUGCUAAGUUUAUUAGACUAGUCUAGUAUUGGCACAUCUAAUUUCUAUGAAGAUAAGUCUACUGACUGAAAUUUUUUACAUAGUAUAUAUCUUGUAAGAUUUUUAUAUGGUAAUUUAAGCACACAGUAUCCCUGUACAAUAUCCCCAGACGGAUCUGAAUCCCGAGUAGCAAUUAAUGUAAAGUAUAUAACAGUGGGGAAGUGAAAUCUCACGGAGCAUAAUUCUUCAGAUCCAGAUGUUACAUGCACACUGGUGCAAACUUUUCAUUAAUUGCUCUAAGGGAUUUCCAUCACACCCUGUUUCAGAUUAUGAUACCAGUUAUUUUAAGGGGAAUUAUGAUAAUUCUAUAUUUGGAAUGCAGAUUCAUUAUCAUGGAGAUAAGACAGCUCAGACUCCUCAUUCAUGGUCUAUUGACUUUUAUAAUUUUGAAUAGUUUACUUGUUAAUUAAAUUCAAGUUUUAUCAGGUCAGUUUGAAGGAAACCACUUAUUAUAGGUCUUUUUAGUAUGCAGGUGUUAAAAUAUUAGCACAUCUCAUUCCAUGGAGAUUAUUUGGCCCUGCUCCCUCAUUCGUGGUCUAUUGACUUAGAAACUUUGCAUAGUUAACAUGUUUGUAACUUAGUCAGUAAAUGAAGAAUAGAUAAGUCAAUGAAACUGUGUCAGCAGUUGUAUCAGCAUUGGCAUAACUUUCUUUAGGGAAAUUAACUUCAGUCACGGUUCAUUGACUUUGAAUAUUUUGCAUAUAUUUUACAUGUUAAAGUAUUAAAAGUAUUUGAAUUUCAACUUUUGCAUUUUACUAUCGAAAUAACAGACAAGACAUAUCUCUGUUUCAACAUUUUAUUCAAUUAUUUCAUCAACAUUUUUAUCGCU